UACUUAGUGGCAGACGGGUGAGUAACAUGUAGGUAUCUACCCUUUGGCCUGGAAUAACACGAGGAAACUUGUGCUAAUACCGGAUAAGUCUUUACAGAGAAAGCUUUAUGCACCAUUGGAUGAGCCUGCACUAGAUUAGUUUGUUGGUGGGGUAAUGGCCUACCAAGACUAUGAUCUAUAGCUGAUUUGAGAGGAUGAUCAGCCACAUUGGAACUGAGACACGGUCCAAACUCCUACGGGAGGCAGCAGUAGGGAAUCUUGCACAAUGGAGGAAACUCUGAUGCAGCGAUGCCGCGUGAGUGAAGAAGGCCCUUGGGUUGUAAAGCUCUUUCGUCGGGGAAGAAAAUGACUGUACCCGAAUAAGAAGGUCCGGCUAACUUCGUGCCAGCAGCCGCGGUAAUACGAAGGGACCUAGCGUAGUUCGGAAUUACUGGGCUUAAAGAGUUCGUAGGUGGUUGAAAAAGUUGGUGGUGAAAUCCCAGAGCUUAACUCUGGAACUGCCAUCAAAACUUUUCAGCUAGAGUAUGAUAGAGGAAAGCA
This 540-nucleotide ribosomal RNA is filed under the name uncultured Pelagibacterales bacterium. RNAcentral's name for it is "bacterial SSU rRNA". It matches the Rfam family "Bacterial small subunit ribosomal RNA", at positions 89 to 663 of the family's 1533-position model. Lineage: Bacteria; Pseudomonadati; Pseudomonadota; Alphaproteobacteria; Candidatus Pelagibacterales. The record is from RNAcentral.